Sus scrofa (pig) is the source of this 712-nucleotide non-coding RNA. NCBI's taxonomy places the organism in Eukaryota, Metazoa, Chordata, Mammalia, Artiodactyla, Suidae. The record is from RefSeq and is a predicted model, not a curated record.
CCUGGAGAGCGCAGGGGGUCGGCGCCCAGGCCGGGAGCGGAGAGGACCUCUACCACUCUACGGUUAGGGGUACCCCCAAACCACCUGCUGUGAUUCUCCAAUCUUCAGGCAGGGGGUCUCGGGAGGACGCUGCUUGGUGAUCCCCGAGGGGUUUUUUGAUUCAACUCCACCUGCUGGCCACCUGAAGCCUUCUCCCUCCCCGGCACAGCUGAGGGCAGCUCGCGGUCCCGCCUCAUCUUCCAGCCCGGGAGCUACCACAUUCGCCGCAGCCGCCGAUGGCCCUGACCCCCCGGUCACCCCAAGCAGGGUCCUUUCCGUCCUCACUGUCCCCGCGCCUUCCCCUUCUGAUUUCCCACUUCAGCCAGCCCGCAAAGACCCCCGCCUGCUACCCCGCACCCGGGCUGGCGCUGACAAAGCCUUCCGCACAAAGUCCUCCCUAACCCACCUUCCCUCCUUUUCCAAAGCCCGGCUCCAGAGCACCCCCCCACCCUCCGCCCCUUCCCGCGGUAUUGCUUCGCCGAGCGAACGGUUCUCCCAGUGAAUUCUGACCUCAUUCCCUCGAAACGAUGGUACCUCUCCCGCUUUUCUGACAGUCACCUCAGAAAAUUGGCACAGACGCGCGGUUUAGAAUGUAAUGAUUCAAGAAUUUUAUAAUACCGUGGAGUAGCUUAACAACUGUCUAUGUGCUUCCCAUGAUAUGUUCUCUAUAUUG